UGGCUCAUGGUGUAAUGGCAGCACAAAAGGCUUUGAUCCUUUUAGUCUAGGUUCGAGUCCUGGUGAGCCAA
Molecule: transfer RNA, 71 nt
Filed under: Candidatus Cloacimonadota bacterium
Lineage: Bacteria; Pseudomonadati; Candidatus Cloacimonadota
Description: tRNA-Gln
Rfam family: tRNA
About the family: Transfer RNA (tRNA) molecules are approximately 80 nucleotides in length. Their secondary structure includes four short double-helical elements and three loops (D, anti-codon, and T loops).
Source: RNAcentral